Molecule: long non-coding RNA, 606 nt
Filed under: Fukomys damarensis (Damara mole-rat)
Lineage: Eukaryota; Metazoa; Chordata; Mammalia; Rodentia; Bathyergidae
Description: lncRNA (ENSFDAG00000023262.1)
Source: RNAcentral
GUACCAUCUCUUUGUUAUAGGCCCCAUAAAACUGGCUACUAAAAGCAGCAAAUGUAUUUUGAACAUUUAUUAUACACGCCCCAUGUUGCAGACAGUGUGAUUCCAAAUCAUAGUGAUUCCACAUAAAAUAAUAAGGAUAAUUUUCUGCUUCUUCCUCUUUCCUCCUUCUGGGUAAAAGAUCACCAGGGGAAGUAAACCUUGGCUCUGAUUUGUUUAUUGAGAUACAAUCUGUACUCAAGGGAAGACUUUGGAGAUUUAAAACUUGGAGAAGUUGCUUACAUUCCAGGUACCCAUGUUCAUAAAUUACAGGUGAUCAUUUGUACUCUAUGGAGUUACUGAAAAAUAUUUGAGAUAAAUUCUGUCUGGCAUCUUUAAUAGUCCUUAGCAUGCCACAGAGAGGAAGGUGUGAUUUGGGAAGGCCACUCUGAGACCUACUCUCCCUCCAGCCUGCUUGGGCCCAUUCAUAGGGACUGGGUAGCCACACCCUCCCCUGCCUGCUCCACCACCAGCUCCAGCAAGGAAGGUAGCCGCCUGGCCUCCCCUGAAAAACUCCCCCCACACACCCCGACUUCCUGAUUGGGCCAGUCCUUGGACUCGCUCACAGAG